UCCAAAGUGCUGGGAUUACAGAACUAAGCCACUGCACCUGCCCGCUUUUCUUUUCUAAGCUAGACUUGAUGUCAUGGGGAAUGCCAUUCUCUUUGUGAGCUAUGCUCAUAUUUUCAUUGUGAGUCUCAAGCAGAGGCCCAUAUGCCUACUAAUAACCCACUUCUCAUUGGUCCACAUGUUAGUGGCUUGUAUUAUAGGAAUCCCCAAGGAUUCUUAAGCUUUGGUCUUGAGAACUCUCAUACAUUAUGUUAUUUUUAAGACAAAUAGCUACACAGUGUCACGUGGCCUUUCCAUCUGUUAGACAAGCCACUUAAGCAUUCUUUAUGCCAUCAUCAUUGGCCUUUGUAACCCCUAUUGAUCAGUGCUCAAAACCAGAAAACCAUUGUGUGCCCUUUACUCCUUUUUGUUUGAAUUCUUAAUUUAAUUUACUCAUAUUUUCCAACUUAAUUUUAUCUCAAUUACAGCCCUCAAGAAUGAGACUGUAUCCAGAUACAUUGUGAAAUCUUGCUCUGUUUUGCUAACGGAUAAUUUUAUUAGGUGAUUCUUUCUCACGUUCAUGGCAUUUCACAUUCAUGACGUUUCCCCUCCUGGGUUUUAUGUGCUGGACGAGUGGGUAUAGGAUGCAUCCCCUCUACAGACAUCACGAGCAAAUACAGCACCUUCACAGGUCGGGCCCCUAAUUCAAAAAAAAAAGCCCUGGGAUGAAAGCAACUAAAGAGACGAUCAUUUUGACCCUGUGCUUCAUUUUUUCCUGUGGGCUUGAUAUGAUUGUUUCCUUCAGUCUAGGUUAUUUUUCAAAAACUGAACCUGUUUUUGAAUACUAAGAAGUUCAUUGGGGUGAACUUUGCCUUUUUAAGCCCUGUGGUACUUCUUUGCAAUGACAACCACCUCCACAGAUUUUGGGCAUCUGCUUUGAGAAAAUGAGAAAU
RNAcentral lists this long non-coding RNA (929 nucleotides) under Homo sapiens (human). RNAcentral's name for it is "non-protein coding lnc-ZNF322-3:1". Lineage: Eukaryota; Metazoa; Chordata; Mammalia; Primates; Hominidae. The record is from RNAcentral.